This 541-nucleotide unclassified non-coding RNA is filed under the name Hevea brasiliensis (rubber tree). Lineage: Eukaryota; Viridiplantae; Streptophyta; Magnoliopsida; Malpighiales; Euphorbiaceae. The record is from RNAcentral.
UACAAAACCAACGAUUUAAACACCAAAAAUCCCACAAUUAAUCACAGAGCAAGCAUAAAAACCACCUAAGCUCAAAAGGGUGUCUAUAAAAUUAUUCUCUUACCUAAAUUCUCCAGCACGUACUUGGCCUUGCUCACCGGCUUUAUUUUCCUUUGUUUCUCAGCAGAGAAAUCGAUCACCGGAGGCAGUGCCGGAGCUGCCGAGGAUAUCGGCUUUGGAGACAACGCCAUCGUGACGCUGCCAUCAGGACCAUACUUUCUUGGCCUUCCUCGCUUCUUCUUCAAAGGCAUCGACGCCGCCGUUGAUGGCGGAUGAACCACCGCCGGUGGCGGAGGCGGAGCUGAUCCAGGGGCGGAGCUAGGGUUGUCGGCGGACCUCGGAGCGAUUUGAUAGUCCGAUGGCACAUCGGAUCCCACCACUGUAACCCCACCUACACUGCUACUACUCACAGUUUCUCUUGCUUCCAUGCUUAAACCCUAUGGAUUUUAUUUUUCUUUUUAAAGAUUUUACUAAAAACCCAUUUUGAUUUUCAGCUCAAAUC